AAUGAACGCUGGCGGCAGGCCUAACACAUGCAAGUCGAGCGAGCAUUUCGGUGCUAGCGGCGGACGGGUGAGUAACGCGUGGGAACGUGCCCUUUUCUGCGGAAUAGUCCUGGGAAACUGGGGGUAAUACCGCAUACGCCCUUUUGGGGAAAGAUUUAUCGGAGAAGGAUCGGCCCGCGUUGGAUUAGGUAGUUGGUGGGGUAAUGGCCCACCAAGCCGACGAUCCAUAGCUGGUUUGAGAGGAUGAUCAGCCACACUGGGACUGAGACACGGCCCAGACUCCUACGGGAGGCGGCAGUGGGGAAUCUUAGACAAUGGGGGCAACCCUGAUCGAGCCAUGCCGCGUGAGUGAUGAAGGCCUUAGGGUUGUAAAGCUCUUUCAGCUGGGAAGAUAAUGACGGUACCAGCAGAAGAAGCCCCGGCUAACUCCGUG
RNAcentral lists this ribosomal RNA (433 nucleotides) under uncultured bacterium. RNAcentral's name for it is "partial 16S ribosomal RNA". It matches the Rfam family "Bacterial small subunit ribosomal RNA", at positions 29 to 507 of the family's 1533-position model. The record is from RNAcentral.